UUUUCUUUUCUGUUUCCCGUCUUUGUUGUCAACAUGAAGGUGUUGUUGGGGGUGUUGUUGGUGGUGG
Molecule: non-coding RNA, 67 nt
Filed under: Paramoeba aestuarina
Lineage: Eukaryota; Discosea; Flabellinia; Dactylopodida; Paramoebidae
Source: RNAcentral